UCUACUUUUAGUAGAGGUGAAACUAAGCUAUUCCAGAAAAUUAACUUCGGAAGCCGAAGAGUUUUGACACAACGACAGACUAGACUAGAGGGAACAAUAACUGAAGGAACGGUCAGGUGCCGAUUUAUCUCGGAGUUCCAACGAUUCAGCGAUAAGUCAGAAGGCCUUCGCAAAGAGUACGAUCCAACGGAAAGUCAGGUGUACUUUUACGCAGAUUACGGAAUGACGAGUGAUGCCGGCGCCGGUCGUAACGCUGGAAUUGACGUCGUAAGGUGCGAUGAACGAUGGCCGAUUGUUAAUCAGAGGAUAAUUUCUUCCCACGAGACGACAGUUACGGAUCGCGCGGGCAUCAAUCGUCGGUUUUAUGUGAGCGCGUGUUCGACACAAUCUUGCACACAAACACGGGGUGAAAUUCUUGUGCGUGUCCCUCGAGCAGAACGUGUGCAAUCUGGGACCAGCCGGGUCGCCGUCCUUCCGAUACUCGUGUAUUGUGAGGUUCCACGCUGUGCAAGGUCCUGUGAAGUACAAAAGGCACCGUAAUGAGCGGACAUCGUCGAAAUACGUGUUGCGAGGAAUAAUUGCCUUCAUAUUCUGUUGUUAAUACGUUGACUGUCAUGGAUUUUCAUGGAUUAUUUCAAUGCUCAGUUUAAUGCAGUUUAAAUCACCACAACUGAGCGACUCGAAAGUGUGAGAACUCUAUAUUGAAAUAUUCAAAGGAAUAUUCGAAAUUUAAUUCGUUACGUUGGCACACUGAGCGAGAAAAUAUCUAAGAAAUAAAAAAUAUUUAUUCGGUUGUUUUUUUCCAGUGCGUUCGUCGCGGAUUUCUCGGCGAUUCCUCCGAAAUUUUGAUUGAAUAGAUUGACUCUCGUAUAAGUUAUUCGAUUGAGAAGAUGGUCCUCGUUUAUUCUCGAUUUUAUUUGGUGCUCGCUUUAUCUGUUGGGUUAACGUUUGUUCGAAUUCACGCGUCACUUGAUGGACAUAGUUGCCGUAGUCCAUAAAACGCAUUGAUUUUUUCUCGUGCAAUUUGAUUGCUCGCUUAAUAUUUGUUCACUCGACGUCGUGGUUUUUCGGAAACUCACUGCUGACAUAAAGCGAGGGAAGACUAACUAAUUUUGUCGCUCAAAUAUUAGUUUAUGGUUCGUUACGUUGGACUGUAACCAGCCGAGAUAUUUCCUCGGCUUUUUAUUAUUUAUUCCGAAAGAAAUAAUAACCCGCGCGAACGUGCAUGCGUGCGAGUACGAAUGACUUAAUUGCGGAAAUUGCUUAUUAGAAUUCUUGUUAUCCACGCGGCGAACAUUUUGGCGAACUUCUUAUGUCUGAAAAUGUGACGCUCAGAGAUGAAAUUUUGCAAGAAGAGCGACUCGACUCGACUCAGCGAGAGGGCGAGAGAAGGCGAUGGGCGUGAGAAAAGGUGCGGGUGAAACGCGACGAUGCCACAGCCCGUGAGAGAGACAUAAAGAGAGAAAAAGAGAAAGGGGUAUAUUAAAGCUAUUUCCGGCCCCGGCGUUUGUGGGGCUUUGGUUACGGUUUCGACUCCACUCAUAACGUUCCGUAAGGAGGAGGAAGAAAAUGAAAAAGGCGCGGGCACGAGGAAACGAGGAGACGAGGAGCAACGCACAACACGCCGACGAUUUCCAUGAGCGAACUCGCAGAAGGGCUCGUCGUCUCGUCGGAGUAAUUCGAUUCGCGGCGGUUCACUAUUCAAAGUGAAUAGUUUUAACACGGGGUCGUUUGUGAAGUCCUGGCGGGGUUAAUUCAUCUAAUAACGUGACUCGUUUCCACGUUCCUUCCGGCGAAGCGGAUAAACCACCGCAAUUGCGUUCGAGACGCGCGUAACGGAAGCGUUUCGCUUACACGCGAAAACUCCGUAUCAUCUGCGCCCGAGACGCCGCAUAAAUCAAAACUUUCCGCGCUCGCGUCGGAGCGAUUUCAAUGUCUCGCUUUUCUCCUUAGUUAAUAUUCCUAAGUGCCGUAUAUCGCGACGGCUCGGCGUCACGAGGCCGUGCUCUCGUCUCGUUCGUAUUUCUAUCAUCUGCCCGUGGCGCGGGGGAAACCGAUAAAAACAUCUUUUCUAUCCUUUGAAACAUCGUAGGGAGUAUUCUCCGUGUCUAAUACAGAGCCAUACGAACGUACGAAUCGGAUCACCGCAUCAUCGCACAUGUAUAUGCAUCUGGUCGCAUCGAUCGCUCUCUUGCUCGCCAUUAGAGUUUCGAGAGAAAACAAGAGCGCGGAAUAAAUUAGCGGGAAUAAUACUAAAAUAGGAAUAACAUUAAAAUAAAACGAGGAAUAACAUUAAAAGACAAUGAGGAGCGCGAACAGCAACUAGCUUUGACCUCCUGAGCAAAAAUAAUUAUAUUACACUGAGGGAAUUUUCUAUUAAAAAUCAUAGAAUUUUCUAACCGUAGAAUGAAUCGAUAUUCUCCGCAGACUAAUUAACUAUCUUUUCAUUUUACGCUUUAUAUUUUAGAAACUAAAAUUUUAAAAUUGGUGUUAAAAGACUUGCCACGUUUCUCGAGAAAUUUAUUGUGUACUUUAAGAUAGUCUUAUUGAUAAUUUAUUUCUGCACUAGAAAACAGUAAAAUUGGAAAGAAUUCACGCGAGAAAGAAAAUGUUAUAAUAUAUAUUCUUUCCGUGUAUAAUUUUAGAGAAUUAUGUAAAAUUAUAUUUGUGAUUACAUAUAAUCGUAAAUGUGGAUAAUUAUAAGUAUAAAUGUCAUGUAGGAGCAUAAUUACAAAUUAUUAUACAAU
Molecule: long non-coding RNA, 2747 nt
Organism: Odontomachus brunneus
Lineage: Eukaryota; Metazoa; Arthropoda; Insecta; Hymenoptera; Formicidae
Exons: 6
Source: RefSeq, a predicted model, not a curated record